AUGGCUGAGAUGGUCAAGUCGGUCAUUAUUGGGGAAGCAGUUAGCCGGAUUAUUUCGGGUAUUGCCCCCACCAGCAAAGACGAGGACAAAGCAGAUGAAGAAGCGUCAGGAGGUGGUGGCCUAGAGAGGUUGGAGAUGGCGCGCAUCAAAAUGGAGGCCGCAAUCCAAACAUCCAACAAGUGGCAGAUCACUGACACGUCGCUCCUCCGUUGGCGAAAGAAGCUCAAGCGUACUGCCCAGGACUGUGACGAUGUAGCGCGCAGAUGCAGACAACUUUCUCGGGAAGAAGACGAGGCGGACUGGCGGAGCAGGUGCGACAAUGAUCAUCGCUCUGCGGGAAGUGCCAGCGCAGCUAUUGUUCGAAGAUUCGAGAGGCUUGCGGACGGUGCUGAUGAAUUUAUCAGGUAUGUGCAGAUCGGCGGGACACCACGCCAGAACCUGUUCUUCAACCCUCUCAUUAGGCAUCUCUUCACGGGCAAAAUGAUUGCGUAUCAGUUGUUGCGUCCUGGAGGUCAGUACCAAUACUUCCGCAUAGGGCCAAUCAAUUUUCAAGAGCGUGGGCUGGAGGCCUUCCUAUCCUUCAUGUACGAAGAUUGUAAGGUGCCCAAGUACAGUUUUUGCCUAGGGGUCAUGCUGCGUCUGUCUGAGAGUACAGACAUAAUUGGAACCGUUGUCAAGUGCUUGCGAGUUAUGACACCUCACUUCAACUCUAUGACCGACGUUGUUAUCAAGGAGAUCACUCAUCUCCCUAUGCAAGAUUUCUCCCAUGUUGCACACGAGAAACACUGGGUUCACGUCCACAGAACUUUGACUGAAUGGUUCCGUCCAGAUCCAUUAUGUUGUCAAGGAUUCGAGCACGACAUUGUGCCUUCUUGCCAUAGUGGCAGCGACAUCAGUAAUGGAAGCGGAAAUAAAUUGAAGUUUUCGAGCAUAUUUCCUGAACCAGUCUGCCAAGUGUUUUUCCAGUGUCACACCUCACUAUCCGAGUACAAAAACCUGCCAGGAUCAACCGUAUUUGCUGGUCAUGAUGACAAUUCAUCUUUGGAGAAUUCCCAACCAUUGAAGCUUGGAAUACUACUCAUGCCUCAUGCUUCUUUGGAGGACCCUAAGUCUGUUGGUUCCACAAUAGAAGUGAUUGAUACAGAGAAUCGACGCCACCUCACACAUGUAAAUGUUCAUCUGAACCAACUCGACGAGAUGAUGAUGCCUAAGGCGAUAGACUAUCUUCAUCUUAAUGCUGAGGCUAUGUCGUACCAGGUAUGCUGGAGGUCUAACCAUGGCAGUGCUCACCUAUGCAUGGAGAGGACAAGUGCGGAAAGAAAGCUUGGAGCACGCAGAGCCACACGACAAGGUAGGAACAUUAAGAGUGCCAAGGGGCUUCCUCUAGCGCAGCAGGAUCAGCGGAUACAUAUGCUGAAUCAGGUAGCUCGUUCAUUCUUAAACCGAUGGGCUGUGCGAUCCUCCGAGAGGUUGCAUAGCUCGUUUACUACGUGGCUCAAUCAGUAG
RNAcentral lists this ribosomal RNA (1506 nucleotides) under Triticum aestivum (bread wheat). RNAcentral's name for it is "partial small subunit ribosomal RNA". Lineage: Eukaryota; Viridiplantae; Streptophyta; Magnoliopsida; Poales; Poaceae. The record is from RNAcentral.